This 572-nucleotide ribosomal RNA is filed under the name uncultured bacterium. RNAcentral describes it as "bacterial SSU rRNA". It matches the Rfam family "Bacterial small subunit ribosomal RNA", at positions 102 to 694 of the family's 1533-position model. The record is from RNAcentral.
ACGGGUGAGUAAUAUGUAGGAAAUCUGCCCUAGAGAGGGGGACAACAGAGGGAAACUUCUGCUAAUACCCCAUAUGAGCUACCUUGAAAUAGGUAUCUUGAAAACUCCGGUGCUCUAGGAUGAGCCUGCAUCUGAUUAGCUUGUUGGUAGGGUAAUGGCCUACCAAGGCGACGAUCAGUAGCUGGUUUGAGAGGAUGAUCAGCCACAAUGGGACUGAGACACGGCCCAUACUCCUACGGGAGGCAGCAGUAGGGAAUCUUGCGCAAUGGGCGAAAGCCUGACGCAGCAACGCCGCGUGAACGAUUAAGCCCCUCGGGGUGUAAAGUUCUGUCAGUGGGGACGAAACUUGACGGUACCCACAGAGGAAGCACCGGCUAACUCCGUGCCAGCAGCCGCGGUAAUACGGAGGGUGCAAGCGUUGUCCGGAAUCAUUGGGCGUAAAGAGUUCGUAGAUGGCAUGUAAAGUCUGGUGUUAAAUCCCGAAGCUCAACUUCGGUUCUGCACCGGAUACUUGCAAGCUAGAAUGCGGUAGAGGUAAAGGGAAUUCCUGGUGUAGCGGUGAAAUGCGUAGA